RNAcentral lists this ribosomal RNA (468 nucleotides) under uncultured bacterium. RNAcentral's name for it is "partial 16S ribosomal RNA". It matches the Rfam family "Bacterial small subunit ribosomal RNA", at positions 28 to 507 of the family's 1533-position model. The record is from RNAcentral.
GACGAACGCUGGCGGCGUGCUUAAUACAUGCAAGUCGAGCGGACAGGCCCUGCUUUUGCGCGGUGCUCGAUUGGCGAACGGGUGAGUAACACGUGUGUAACCUCCCCUUGUCUUACGGAUAUCUUUAGGAAACUGGGGCUAAUACCGGAUAGGAGCUCCUGCUGCACGGUGGGGGUUGGAAAGUUUCGGCGGUUGGGUAUGGUCUCGCGGCUUAUCGGCUGGUUGGUGGGGUAGUGGCUGACCAAGCCUUGGACGGGUAGCCGGCCUGAGAGGGUGACCGGCCACAUUGGGACUGAGAGACGGCCCAGACUCCUACGGGAGGGAGCAGUGGGGAAUAUUGCACAAUGGGCGGAAGCCUGAUGCAGCAACGCCGCGUGCGGGAUGACGGCCUUCGGGUUGUAAACCGAUUUCGCCUGUGACGAAGCGUGAGUGACGGUAAUGGGUAAAGAAGCACCGGCUAACUACGUG